This 463-nucleotide ribosomal RNA is filed under the name uncultured bacterium. RNAcentral describes it as "partial 16S ribosomal RNA". It matches the Rfam family "Bacterial small subunit ribosomal RNA", at positions 28 to 507 of the family's 1533-position model. The record is from RNAcentral.
GAUGAACGCUGACAGAAUGCUUAACACAUGCAAGUCGAUGGGGAAGUGGUGCUUGCACCAUGGCAACCAUGGCGGACGGGUGAGUAACGCGUAAGGGACUUACCUGCAGGACUGGGAUAACAGGGGGGAACUCCUGACAAGACCGGAUAAUGUCAUGGAGCUGCAUGGCUUUAUGAUGAAAGGAGACGCCUGCGGAGAGCCUUGCGUCCUAUUAGCUAGUUGGUGAGGUAAUGGCUCACCAAGGCGAAGAUAGGUAGCCGGCCUGAGAGGGUGGACGGCCACAAGGGGACUGAGAUACGGCCCUUACUCCUACGGGAGGCAGCAGUGGGGAAUAUUGGACAAUGGGGGCAACCCUGAUCCAGCAAUUCUGUGUGCACGAAGAAGGUUUUCGGAUUGUAAAGUGCUUUCAGCAGGGAAGAAGUAAGUGACGGUACCUGCAGAAGAAGCGACGGCUAAAUACGUG